Molecule: unclassified non-coding RNA, 369 nt
Filed under: soil metagenome
Description: partial contains 5.8S ribosomal RNA, internal transcribed spacer 2, and large subunit ribosomal RNA
Rfam family: 5.8S ribosomal RNA (bases 1-120)
Source: RNAcentral
GAUGAAGAACGCAGCGAAAUGUGAUAAGUAAUGUGAAUUGCAGAAUCUCGUGAAUCAUCGAAUCUUUGAACGCACAUUGCGCCCAAUGGUAUUCCAUUGGGCAUACCUGUUUGAGUAUCAGAAUCCUUUCAAUUAUCAAACUUUUAUAUAUAGAGAUGUAUGUAAAGAUGUUUGGAAUAAAGUUGAGAAAAGUAGUAUUGUUUAUAAUAUUACUUUCUUAAAAACCAGAAAUAUUAUGUUUUGAUUUUUCUUCACCUCAUUUUGUAUGAAAUUUUAACAAAUGAGUAUGAGUAAAAAUAACAAUACUUUGGAUGACCUCAAAUCAGGUAGGGAUACCCGCUGAACUUAAGCAUAUCAAUAAGCGGAGGA